ACGGAAGGCAGCAGUGAGGAAUAUUGGUCAAUGGUCGGAAGACUGAACCAGCCAAGUAGCGUGAAGGAUGACUGCCCUAUGGGUUGUAAACUUCUUUUAUGCGGGAAUAAAAAGGAUUACGUGUAGUCUGUUGCAUGUACCGCAUGAAUAAGGAUCGGCUAAUUCCGUGCCAGCAGCCGCGGUAAUACGGAAGAUCCGAGCGUUAUCCGGAUUUAUUGGGUUUAAAGGGUGCGCAGGCGGUCUUUUAAGUCAGUGGUCAAAUCGUGGGGCUCAACCCCAUCCCGCCAUUGAUACUGGAGGACUUGAUUGCGGUCGAGGUUGGCGGAAUUCGUCGUGUAGCGGUGAAAUGCAUAGAUAUGACGAAGAACACCGAUUGCGUAGGCAGCUGACCAGGCCGUAAAUGACGCUCAUGCACGAAAGUGCGGGGAUCGAACAGGAUUAGAUACCCUGGUA
Molecule: ribosomal RNA, 453 nt
Filed under: uncultured Porphyromonadaceae bacterium
Lineage: Bacteria; Pseudomonadati; Bacteroidota; Bacteroidia; Bacteroidales; Porphyromonadaceae
Description: partial 16S ribosomal RNA
Rfam family: Bacterial small subunit ribosomal RNA
Source: RNAcentral